UCUUAGCCAAAAGGCCGA
Molecule: small nuclear RNA, 18 nt
Filed under: Arabidopsis thaliana (thale cress)
Lineage: Eukaryota; Viridiplantae; Streptophyta; Magnoliopsida; Brassicales; Brassicaceae
Description: snRNA_07070
Source: RNAcentral